GGGUGGGUAGGGGAGUAGGGCAGAGGGAGGGUAUAGGGAACUUUCGGGAUAGCAUUUGAAAUGUAUAUAAAGAAAAUAUCUAAUAAAAAAUAAAUUAAAAAGAAAAGAAAUAGCAGUUGUUACAGAAUCUGGAGCCUGAGGAACCAUGGUGACAACAUGAGGACAAUGCCCAACAGUGAGACCUAGGGAAAGAAGCUUCGUGCUCAGAGAGCAUCUCAGGAGGAGAGGGGAAGCCAAGAUGGAGGCGAACACACACGAAGAAGAAGAACCUGAACCAACAUGGACUUAAAUAGCCACAGGUAGUUAUGUUAUCAUGAAGGCUAGAAUAAUUGGGAUAAUUUGUCUAAUCUAGGUGGGCAGGCUUUAUCAUUAUCAAUUGGUUCUGAAAUGAUUGUAUUAGCAUCUUGUGAAGU
Molecule: long non-coding RNA, 413 nt
Filed under: Mus spicilegus (steppe mouse)
Lineage: Eukaryota; Metazoa; Chordata; Mammalia; Rodentia; Muridae
Description: lncRNA (ENSMSIG00000012172.1)
Source: RNAcentral